This 229-nucleotide ribosomal RNA is filed under the name uncultured bacterium. RNAcentral's name for it is "partial 16S ribosomal RNA". It matches the Rfam family "Bacterial small subunit ribosomal RNA", at positions 125 to 353 of the family's 1533-position model. The record is from RNAcentral.
ACUGCCCGAUGGAGGGGGGAUAACUACUGGAAACGGUAGCUAAUACCGCAUAACGUCGCAAGACCAAAGAGGGGGACCUUCGGGCCUCUUGCCAUCGGAUGUGCCCAGAUGGGAUUAGCUAGUAGGUGGGGUAAAGGCUCACCUAGGCGACGAUCCCUAGCUGGUCUGAGAGGAUGACCAGCCACACUGGAACUGAGACACGGUCCAGACUCCUACGGGAGGCAGCAUG